This is a non-coding RNA of Trichonephila clavipes, 73 nucleotides long. The record is from the annotation of a GenBank genome assembly. Lineage: Eukaryota; Metazoa; Arthropoda; Arachnida; Araneae; Nephilidae.
GUCUCUGUAGCGCAACUGAUAGCACUUUGGACUUCUAAUCCAAAGAUCGUGGGUUCGAAUCCCACUUGGGAUU